Molecule: small nucleolar RNA, 78 nt
Filed under: Corchorus olitorius
Lineage: Eukaryota; Viridiplantae; Streptophyta; Magnoliopsida; Malvales; Malvaceae
Source: RNAcentral
AGGAGGCGUGAUGAUAUCUAUCCAUCAUCUCUGUAUUUGGAUGAUGAAUAUUUAACAUGCACUACCAUCUUAACUCUU